UGCCACAAUUGACGUGACUCAUCUUCCUUACGGGCUACAUCGUAAUGUAUUGCUGUAAAAAUCGUCAAACUAAAAGUAUUUUAAAAUUUUCACAAUUGCUUGUCAAUUUUACGUUUACGAUGUCAAACCAGUCCCAACAUCUGAAUUCCCCGAUUCUGAAUUAUUAAAACCCUCCCAGUUGUUGGUAAAGAAUCUCCCUAAAGAUUGCGAGCAUGUGCUCCCCUUCGUCCUCCACUUUUCCCGUAACACAAUUGACUCGCAGUUUCCAAAGAAACGGGUAUCACACGUGAUAAUAUGACGAUGAAAAAUUGUCACGGCACAACACACUGUGGUCUAACGAGAAUAAUAACGCGAUAAAAGGACCAAGGUAACCAACAUAAAAGGAUAGCCUUUAAUCGUCAGCAUUAUCGAUUGCAGUGGGUGGUGUGUGGGACGUCCCACCCACGAGGAAAGCCCACCAUUUUGUAUGCGGAACAUGUUGUCAACAGCCUCUCUGUACAUAAAGGACACAAAAGGAUGUAGUUUAUAUUUUAUACGUUGGCGGAUGCUGUGACAAACGGGAAGUACACGCCAACUAAUUUGAAUUGAAUGCUGUCAAUAACAUGCAGUUCUUCCGAAGGCGAGUUCAUCCUUUAAACUCGGUUUUUCUGCUCUAGACGUUUAGCGUAGCAACCGAAUAUUCGCAAUCGCUCCCUUUUAUGUAACCUCGUUUCGAAAAAAA
This is a long non-coding RNA of Daphnia magna, 721 nucleotides long. RefSeq lists it as uncharacterized. The record is from RefSeq and is a predicted model, not a curated record. The transcript is spliced from 3 exons. NCBI's taxonomy places the organism in Eukaryota, Metazoa, Arthropoda, Branchiopoda, Diplostraca, Daphniidae.